This 62-nucleotide small nucleolar RNA is filed under the name Euglena gracilis. RNAcentral's name for it is "Eg-m96". The record is from RNAcentral. Lineage: Eukaryota; Euglenozoa; Euglenophyceae; Euglenales; Euglenaceae.
UGAUGUGCAGAACAUGUUAGUAUACGCACUGACAUUGUGAUUACACCGACAACCCCCUGAUU